Benincasa hispida (wax gourd) is the source of this 2535-nucleotide long non-coding RNA. RefSeq lists it as uncharacterized. Lineage: Eukaryota; Viridiplantae; Streptophyta; Magnoliopsida; Cucurbitales; Cucurbitaceae. The record is from RefSeq and is a predicted model, not a curated record.
UUAUGAAUGAAAAUUUGAAAUCUCAAAUUGAGAAUUUUUCUUAGGAUUCGCAAUUCUUGUGAUAGAAUGCAUGUGACUCAUUCAAUCUAACCUUUAUCAAGUUCGGUUAUGGAGUGACUCAAUUUAGAACAAGAUUUUGAAUCUUGCUUCUAUAUCUUUGAUCUAAGAGGCAAUCUAAUUUUAACAUUUUCUCUUGGUUGAUCUAAAUUCAUAUAAGGAGGUACUAAUUUAUUGGAUUCAAAGGUUCUUGCUUCACAAUAGCUUGGAUCUUUAGGCUGAGGAUUAGAAUUGUCCUAUCAUUUGAUAUCAGAGCAUAGGUUGCAUUUUUUUGGCCUGCUCCAAAAUUGAUUCUAUAUUUCUUUUUUUAUUUUUUUGCAUUUUAAUUUUAGCUUUCAAUUUCGUCCAUUGAUUUCGUUAUUGCCUUUUCAUCCAUCGUUCUUCAUCUUUUUACCUUAUUUCCAUCUUAUUGAUCAAAUUUAGAUCUUAAAAAAAUGUGGGAAAAAAAUUAGAAUUUGUCUUGCAAUUAUUUAUACAAAUUGUAUGUUUGAUUUUUGAUAUUUGAAUCAGUUUGGUACAGUUGAGUUAUUAUAUUAAGUCUAUCUAUUUUCUGUCAAUUCUAAAAUUAAUUGCAUGUCCAAGAGUGUAUUUUCAACUUCCUAUCAUUAAUUGCUGAAAACUAUUCAAAUCUGAAAAUUGUUGAGCUUUCUUUUUAUCAUUCGUUUUCUUUCUCAAUGCAAAUGACUGAAUUUGAUUACAUGUCCUUCAACAAAAAUUUAUAUCAACCUCUUAUCUUAAAUUGUUAAGAAGAGCAUUUAGUCAAAGAUCCCUUUAUUUGCAAUUCUACUUUUGUAUUCAGUUUUAUUUGAAAAUUGCUUUGUGUCUUCCCUUAUUUGUUUGAGCCUUUCAUUGUUUUCUUGUUCUUUUUGUGGUAUUUUCAUAAUUAUCUUAUCUUGCUUGUAUUAAUUAACUCUCUGUUUCAAGAAUUUCUUGUUCCACUAAACCUAUACAAUACAUAAUUUAGUCACUUUCUCAGAUAGCCUAUUUUUUGUGUGCAAAUAGAAGUAUUCUUGAGUGAACAGUCUAGUGAAUUGAGUGUUUGGAGGUCUAUUUUUUUUUCAUCUUAUUAUCUUGUUAUGAAUUUUUUUCGAAGACUUUUUGCAGUAGUUUGGUCAAGUUAUGUCAAGUCGUUGAUUACAUAUCUAAAUUGACUCAUGAGUUGAAUUUGCGAGACCAAAAUUUGAAAAAGGUUUGACUAUCUAUUGAAAGUACGCUUAUUAUUGUGGUAGAGAGUGAUAAAGUUCAAGAUGACAUACUUUGUGAAAAAUUCGUUGAUUGUAUUAUAACACCUAAUAUUGAAGUUCAUGUUGAUGUGUUUGAAUUAGAGGACAAGACAAAAAAGACCAAAAUAAGAACAUGUAGAUUGAUCGAAAAAGAAUCUUCUAAAAAAAGAGUGAGAAAGAAAAGCAUUUAGGAUUUGGCCUGGAGAAUAAAAUGAGAGAAAAGUCGAAAAGGUAAAAUAGUCCCAGUAGCACUUUCGAGCAAUUAGAAGAAGUUUGGAGUUAAAAGGAGCAAAAAUGAGCCGAAAAUCACCUAAUUAGAAGAAGUCAAGAUAUUUACCAUUUUACCAUCACUGAGCAGCGUUGCAACACUAGAAAAAUACAAAUGUUCGGCUUUGCCUCGAUGCUGAAAGAUAGGGCAGCGUUGCAACGCUCUCCUUUAGCAUUACAACAUUACGAACAUUGAUGGAAAGAUAAAAAUUCGUGUGCGCACCUUUGUGCAAAUGAGCGUCAGGCCAGUGUCACUCCAGGGUUGCAAUGCUGCAUCCAACAUCUAUUAUAAACCAAAUUUUCCAGAAAUUAAGGGGAGACCAUGUGACGCCACAAAGAUUUGUACAUUUUUUUAAAAGAAAGAAAAAGAAAAAAAAUAGUUGUUGGUUAAUUUAGGAAAAGGAAAAGGGAAUUAGGGAUAUAAAGGUGAUUUGGGGACCUCGGGUUACAUGCAAAGGAAAAAAAAAAGAAAAAGAUUUCUUUUUACUUUUCCUUUCUUCUUCCUCCUCUCGUCGACCACGCGUUGCCUAGCCAAAGCCGCCAUCGAUCGAACACCAGAAGGCAUACAGAUCUAUUCAUCUACCACGCGUUAGACCUCCAACCAGCCACGUCGUGCGCCGAGUCGCCAGUCGCUGGCCUAACCCAAGCGUUGUUCACCAGUUCUAAUGCGGGCAGUGCCGAUUGUUGUCGAAUCAUAGUUGGUUCCGCCUUAUUCUUCUGUUCGGGGAACAUGUGGCAAUGAAGGAAGUUUCCAAGCGGAGUAAGAGUUUGUUUUGGGAUAGUUUGUUAUCCCGAGGUAAGGGUAAUGACAGACUGACACAGGACAAGAGAGAUCCGUGACCUGGCCAUUUAGGACGACUGACUGCUUCCGCACUUAAUAUCAUGUUUUUUUUUUAGUCUAGUUUAAGAGUUAAGCAUUUUAAACUCUCAUGCAAAAUUUAUUAAUUUUAUUAUUUGACUAUUUUAUUGUUUUCAUUUUAAAGUUGGG